CCUACGGGGGGCUGCAGUGGGGAAUAUUGGACAAUGGGGGCAACCCUGAUCCAGCCAUGCCGCGUGUGUGAAGAAGGCCCUCGGGUUGUAAAGCACUUUCAGUGAGGAAGAACGCCUGGUGGUUAAUACCCAUCAGGAAAGACAUCACUCACAGAAGAAGCACCGGCUAACUCCGUGCCAGCAGCCGCGGUAAUACGGAGGGUGCGAGCGUUAAUCGGAAUUACUGGGCGUAAAGCGCGCGUAGGUGGCUUGAUAAGCCGGUUGUGAAAGCCCCGGGCUCAACCUGGGAACGGCAUCCGGAACUGUCCAGCUAGAGUGCAGGAGAGGAAGGUAGAAUUCCCGGUGUAGCGGUGAAAUGCGUAGAGAUCGGGAGGAAUACCAGUGGCGAAGGCGGCCUUCUGGACUGACACUGACACUGAGGUGCGAAAGCGUGGGUAGCAAACAGGAUUAGAUACCCGUGUAGUC
This 465-nucleotide ribosomal RNA is filed under the name Vreelandella stevensii. RNAcentral describes it as "partial 16S ribosomal RNA". It matches the Rfam family "Bacterial small subunit ribosomal RNA", at positions 338 to 795 of the family's 1533-position model. The record is from RNAcentral. Lineage: Bacteria; Pseudomonadati; Pseudomonadota; Gammaproteobacteria; Oceanospirillales; Halomonadaceae.